AAAAAUUCAUAGUUUCGUCACUGCCCGUACACAACCUUCUAGCUCCACCUCUGCAUCUCAGGUUAUAUUUAUCAGGCAACAGUAGUUUAAUUACGCCUAGAAGAUCCUAUUGAUGAAAGCAGUAUCUUGGUUUCCCUACUAGUAUCACCCACAACAUAUUCAUAAGUUCAGCAUCGGAAUCUUUCCCACCUACCAUCAGUGCAGUUGGCUG
RNAcentral lists this long non-coding RNA (211 nucleotides) under Nicotiana benthamiana. RNAcentral describes it as "long non-coding RNA (NBEN_LNC022719)". Lineage: Eukaryota; Viridiplantae; Streptophyta; Magnoliopsida; Solanales; Solanaceae. The record is from RNAcentral.